CGGGUUUAACCGGACCCGGGGCGGGACGCGGCCUAGUGGCGGACGGGUGAGUAACGCGUGGGCAAUCUGCCCCGUACCGGGGGAUAACACCUGGAAACAGGUGCUAACACCGCAUGACAGGCGGGGGCGCAUGCCCCGGCCUUGAAAACUCCGGUGGUACGGGAUGAGCCCGCGUCCGAUUAGCCAGUUGGCGGGGUAACGGCCCACCAAAGCGACGAUCGGUAGCCGGCCUGAGAGGGUGGACGGCCACAUUGGGACUGAGACACGGCCCAAACUCCUACGGAAGGCAGCAG
This 293-nucleotide ribosomal RNA is filed under the name uncultured bacterium. Its description in RNAcentral is "partial 16S ribosomal RNA". It matches the Rfam family "Bacterial small subunit ribosomal RNA", at positions 58 to 354 of the family's 1533-position model. The record is from RNAcentral.